GCAAGGAAUAGUAGGCAAUGGGCGCAAGCCUGACCUCGCGACGCCGCGUGAGGGAUGAAGGUCUUCGGAUCGUAAACCUCUUUUCUCAAGGAUGAAUAAUGACAGUACUUGAGGAAUAAGUCACGGCUAACUACGUGCCAGCAGCCGCGGUAAAACGUAGGUGGCGAACGUUAUCCGGAUUUACUGGGCGUAAAGAGUGCGUAGGCGGUCAUUCAAGUCAGAUGUAAAAUCUCCUGGCUCAACUGGGAGGGACCAUCUGAUACUGCUUGACUGGAGUACAGCAGAGGAAAGUGGAAUUCCCGGUGUAGUGGUGGAAUGCGUAGAUAUCGGGAGGAACACCUGUGGCGAAAGCGGCUUUCUGGGCUGUUACUGACGCUGUUGCACGAAAGCGUGGGGAGCAAACAGGAUUAGAAACCCUAGUAGUCC
This 426-nucleotide ribosomal RNA is filed under the name uncultured bacterium. Its description in RNAcentral is "bacterial SSU rRNA". It matches the Rfam family "Bacterial small subunit ribosomal RNA", at positions 354 to 796 of the family's 1533-position model. The record is from RNAcentral.